UUUCCUGUUCAAGAAAAAUCCAGCUGCUGUUUGGCUCAGAUGUUUUACCAAAGAGCACAGAGAAGAAGAGGCCAGCUCACUCUGAGAUAACCUACCCAGGCACUCGUGCAAUCUGCUGCUGUUGGGACACAGGGACACAUGCAGCUCCCAUUUCCACUUGAACGCUGCAAUUACUGGGGGCAUGAAGCUAUCCAAAAUAAACUCACAUAAUGGGCUGUGGUGGUUUUUUAACCUUCAGCAUUGGCCUGUCUCACAUCCUUUGGAAUGAUACCAGAUGAUCAACCUCCUUUCCUUUGGGGAAGAGGGUCCAUACCGCUGUGAAGAAUUUGAGCCUGGGGAAAAGAGAUUCCCUAUUCACCUGGAUGCCUUUCUGACAGUUAGGACUCAUUGCAUAGAUGAGCUCUCCUGAUUGCCUGUUACAAAAACAGGUAAAAUUCAAAAUUACUCUUCUUUGUCUGUUAAACCUUGGCCUUUACACAAAGGAGAGGAAAUGAAUGUGACAUUUUUCCUCAUUUCCUUUACAUUAACCAUGGAGCCAUAGGAGCUUCAGCUGUUUUUAAGGCAUUUGUGACACAAAAAGAUUUGUUUUAGCUGGUUGCUUUUGCCAAAGCUGGCUUCAACAUGAAUUGCUCCAACACUUAAAAUUAUCAGGCUGAGAGGAUAAAGAUCUGUACUCAAUUACAUACAGUUGUUGCUCGACAAACUUGUUCUUCAAAUCUUUGCUUUAAAACUAGUUGUCAUUAAUACUGCUAUGUCCACAGUUUUUGUUAAGCAUACCAGGAACUGCAAGUCCACAUUUAAAAUAAAGUCUUAUCAAAAUGUUUCA
This 826-nucleotide long non-coding RNA is filed under the name Cyanistes caeruleus (blue tit). RNAcentral's name for it is "lncRNA (ENSCCEG00000010128.1)". Lineage: Eukaryota; Metazoa; Chordata; Aves; Passeriformes; Paridae. The record is from RNAcentral.